GAUUGAACGCUGGCGGUAUGCUUAACACAUGCAAGUCGAACGGAAACGAUACUAGCUUGCUAGUAGGCGUCGAGUGGCGGACGGAUGAGUAACGCGUAGGAAUCUGCCUGAUAGUGGGGGAUAGCCCGAAGAAAUUCGGAUUAAUACCGCAUAAUCUAUUCGUAGUAAAGUGGGGGACUUUCGAGCCUCACGCUAUCAGAUGAGCCUGCGUAAGAUUAGCUAGUUGGUAGGGUAAAAGCCUACCAAGGCGACGAUCUUUAGCUGGUCUGAGAGGAUGAUCAGCCACAUCGGGACUGAGACACGGCCCGAACUCCUACGGGAGGCAGCAGUGGGGAAUAUUGGACAAUGGGGGCAACCCUGAUCCAGCAAUACCGCGUGUGUGAAGAAGGCCUGAGGGUUGUAAAGCACUUUCAAUUGUGAAGAAAAGUUAGCGGUUAAUAACCGUUAGCCUUGACGUUAACUUUAGAAGAAGCACCGGCUAACUCCGUGCCAGCAGCCGCGGUAAUACGGAGGGUGCAAGCGUUAAUCGGAAUUACUGGGCGUAAAGCGUGCGUAGGCGGUUUAUUAAGUCAGAUGUGAAAGCCCCGGGCUUAACCUGGGAACUGCAUUUGAAACUGGUCAACUAGAGUAUGGUAGAGGAAAGUGGAAUUUCUGGUGUAGCGGUGAAAUGCGUAGAUAUCAGAAGGAACAUCAAUGGCGAAGGCAGCUUUCUGGACCAAUACUGACGCUGAGGUACGAAAGCGUGGGUAGCAAACAGGAUUAGAUACCCUGGUAGUCCACGCCGUAAACGAUGAUAACUAGCCGUUGGGGGGAUUUACCCUUUAGUGGCGAAGCUAACGCGUUAAGUUAUCCGCCUGGGGAGUACGGCCGCAAGGUUAAAACUCAAAGGAAUUGACGGGGACCCGCACAAGCGAUGGAGCAUGUGGUUUAAUUCGAUGCAACGCGAAGAACCUUACCUGGUCUUGACAUCCUGCGAACUUUCUAGAAAUAGAUUGGUGCCUUCGGGAACGCAGUGACAGGUGCUGCAUGGCUGUCGUCAGCUCGUGUCGUGAGAUGUUGGGUUAAGUCCCGUAACGAGCGCAACCCCUAUCCUUAUUUGCCAGCACAUCAUGGUGGGAACUAUAAGGAGACUGCCGGUGAUAAACCGGAGGAAGGCGGGGACGACGUCAAGUCAUCAUGGCCCUUACGACCAGGGCUACACACGUGCUACAAUGGGAAGGACAAAGAGCCGCGAAGCCGCGAGGUGUAGCUAAUCUCAUAAACCUUUUCGUAGUCCGGAUUGGAGUCUGCAACUCGACUCCAUGAAGUCGGAAUCGCUAGUAAUCGUAGAUCAGAAUGCUACGGUGAAUACGUUCCCGGGUCUUGUACACACCGCCCGUCA
This 1381-nucleotide ribosomal RNA is filed under the name uncultured bacterium. RNAcentral describes it as "16S ribosomal RNA". It matches the Rfam family "Bacterial small subunit ribosomal RNA", at positions 27 to 1399 of the family's 1533-position model. The record is from RNAcentral.